GGGGAUUCAGCUCAGUGGUAGAGUGAGUGCUUGCCUUGUAUGCACAAGGCCUUGGGUUCAAUCCCCAGCACCA
RNAcentral lists this transfer RNA (73 nucleotides) under Marmota monax (woodchuck). RNAcentral describes it as "tRNA.Undet". The record is from RNAcentral. Lineage: Eukaryota; Metazoa; Chordata; Mammalia; Rodentia; Sciuridae.